This is a small nucleolar RNA of Hippocampus comes (tiger tail seahorse), 80 nucleotides long. Lineage: Eukaryota; Metazoa; Chordata; Actinopteri; Syngnathiformes; Syngnathidae. The record is from Ensembl.
UGCGCGUGAUGUUUUUCUCACGAUGGUCUUCCAAGUUAAACUCUGACGACAUCGCCUUACGGCAUUGCUGAUGCAGCCUU